UUACUACUCCCUCCGUCCCAUAUUAUUUGUCUCAAAUUUGUCCAAAUAUGAACGUAUCUAUGCCUAAAAAGCGUCUAGAUACAUGUAAUAUUUCGACAAUUAAUAUGUGACGGAGGGAGUAUUAA
This is a non-coding RNA of Brachypodium distachyon (stiff brome), 125 nucleotides long. The record is from Rfam. Lineage: Eukaryota; Viridiplantae; Streptophyta; Magnoliopsida; Poales; Poaceae.